Molecule: long non-coding RNA, 1671 nt
Organism: Oncorhynchus tshawytscha (Chinook salmon)
Lineage: Eukaryota; Metazoa; Chordata; Actinopteri; Salmoniformes; Salmonidae
Source: Ensembl
CUGGAUGAUGUUGAGAGAUAGAUGGGAGGGGUUGAGUGGAGCUGAAGGGUGGGACUGGAUGAUGUUGAGAGACAGAUGGGAGAGGUUGAGUGGAGCUGAAGAGUGGGACUGGAUGAUGUUAAGAGACAGAUGGGAGGGGUUGAGUGGAGCUGAAGGGUGGGACUGGAUGAUGUUGAGAGACAGAUGGGAGAGGUUGAGUGGAGCUGAAGGGUGGGACUGGAUGAUGUUGAGAGACAGAUGGGAGAGGUUGAGUGGAGCUGAAGAGUGGGACUGGAUGAUGUUAAGAGACAGAUGGGAGGGGUUGAGUGGAGCUGAAGGGUGGGACUGGAUGAUGUUAAGAGAUCGAUGGGAGAGGUUGAAUGGAGCUGAAGGGACUAAUAACAAGAUAAAACAUGUAGAACAUACGGGGUCUGUAAAAUGUAUAUAGAUUCAGAACGUUUGUGAAAUAGCACAGUUACAAAUAGAAAUCAAAUUGGAUGGACAUCAGAUAUAGAGGAAGGACUAAAAACAAACAAAAUAUAACUAUUGUAAAAUAGACUGUGUCUGUAAAAUGUGUAUUAAGAUGUGGAAAUUGAAGGUAAAAGCCGAAGUGUUUAUUAGUUUACUCCAAUUGGGGGAUCGGCGGAAGGGUUUGCGGGGAAUAAUAAUAAAGGUAUAUUCUUUAAAAAAGUAUGUAUGUCUAUAUAGGUAUGUGUAUAUGUAUGUCUAUAUAGGUAAGUGUAUGUAUAUAUGUGUGUAUGCAUGUCUAUAUAGGUAUGUGUAUGUAUAUAUGUGUAUAUGUAUGCAUGUGUGUAUGGAUAUGGAUAUACAUAUCUACCCCAAAAAUAUAUGGGGGAUUGGAAAUGAUGCAGACAAUUACAUUGAUGGAACCAAUAUUCUUUCCGCAAUAUUUAGCUGAUCCACCCCUCUAAAAAAAAAAAAAAAGAUGAUAUCUAAACAAUUGUUUACACUACCAAGAGUAUGGACUUGAUUGAGCGAUCAGGUUAAAGGCCAAGAUAAUUUCACCUGUCAAUCAAACCGUAGAGGCAGACACUAAAGUGGUAUGGGGAAGAUCGGAUGGUAAAGGGAUUUUUUUAAGUGGAACCCGGGUGGUAGUGGGAGUUCCUAUGUCAUGGAGUCAAGCUGCAGAAAAAGGGCAAGGCUUUGGCAAGGUCAGAGUUGGGUGAGCUUGUGGCUAAUCCCCCUGUCAAACAGAACCCCAAGGGAUUAUGGGCUGUGGUACUCCUCCUCUUGCCACCCCUGAACAACACUGUCUCUGACUCACAAAGGAGGAGAAGCAGCCCCAGCUCUCCGUCUCUCUCACCCUCUCUUUUGUCUGGGUUGAAAAAUGGCCGUCGGUGGCCGCACUGUUGUCCCGUCAAACACGGCAGUCAGUCCCUUUUAGACAAAACUCAAAUAAAGAAAGAGGGGAAGAAAUAUUGGGAUUAGGCGGUAAACAGUUCCCACCCAGCUUUCUUUAGUUCACUUUCAGUAGCAAUGUGUGCUCAGUGGACUCUGAGAACUACACUGGCUUUAUUCAUUCUUAUUGACUUUAACACAUUUUAUGUCGGGAACUGUGUGUAUGUGUGCUGCUGUACAGGCUACUGUAUAAAAGAGCUGGAUUUUUGUUUUUGAAGGAAGGGCAGCUCCAUUGACAAUCAGUGUUUCUCGGAAGAGUUUUGUUAAUCAAAC